RNAcentral lists this ribosomal RNA (473 nucleotides) under uncultured Magnetococcus sp. RNAcentral describes it as "bacterial SSU rRNA". It matches the Rfam family "Bacterial small subunit ribosomal RNA", at positions 79 to 587 of the family's 1533-position model. The record is from RNAcentral. Lineage: Bacteria; Pseudomonadati; Pseudomonadota; Magnetococcia; Magnetococcales; Magnetococcaceae.
UUCGGGGCGCUGACGAGUGGCGAACGGGUGAGUAACACGUGGAUACCUAUCCUGGGGCGGGGGACAACAGUUGGAAACGACUGCUAAUACCGCAUACGCCCUACGGGGGAAAGAUUUAUCACCCUGGGAGGGGUCCGCGUUGGAUUAGCUAGUUGGUGGGGUAAAGGCCUACCAAGGCGACGAUCCGUAGCUGGUCUGAGAGGAUGAUCAGCCACACUGGGACUGAGACACGGCCCAGACUCCUACGGGAGGCAGCAGUGGGGAAUAUUGCGCAAUGGGGGCAACCCUGACGCAGCGAUACCGCGUGAGUGAAGAAGGCCUUCGGGUUGUAAAGCUCUUUCAGUAGGGACGAUAGUGACGGUACCUACAGAAGAAGCUCCGGCUAACUCCGUGCCAGCAGCCGCGGUAAUACGGAGGGGGCGAGCGUUGUUCGGAAUUACUGGGCGUAAAGGGCGCGUAGGCUGUUUGGCAAG